UCUUUGUGUUUGAGUAGAUUUUUUGUAAUGUAUCAAUAAGAUAGACCCAUGCUGCGAGUUGUUUCAUGCCAUAAAUAAACACGGACACUCAAAAAAUCUGUUGGGCA
Non-coding RNA from Phoenix dactylifera (date palm), 107 nucleotides. The record is from RefSeq and is a predicted model, not a curated record. Lineage: Eukaryota; Viridiplantae; Streptophyta; Magnoliopsida; Arecales; Arecaceae.